Molecule: ribosomal RNA, 253 nt
Filed under: uncultured bacterium
Lineage: Bacteria
Description: partial 16S ribosomal RNA
Rfam family: Bacterial small subunit ribosomal RNA
Source: RNAcentral
UACAGAGGUCCCAAGCGUUGUUCGGAUUCACUGGGCGUAAAGGGUGCGUAGGUGGUGAGGUAAGUCGGAUGUGAAAUCUCCGAGCUCAACUCGGAAAUGGCAUUGGAAACUACCUUGCUCGAGGGUUGGAGGGGGGACUGGAAUGCUUGGUGUAGCAGUGAAAUGCGUAGAUAUCAAGCGGAACACCAGUGGCGAAGGCGAGUCCCUGGACAUCUCCUGACACUGAGGCACGAAAGCUAGGGGAGCAAACAGG